RNAcentral lists this transfer RNA (72 nucleotides) under Solea solea (common sole). Its description in RNAcentral is "tRNA-Trp". It matches the Rfam family "tRNA". Rfam says of the family: Transfer RNA (tRNA) molecules are approximately 80 nucleotides in length. Their secondary structure includes four short double-helical elements and three loops (D, anti-codon, and T loops). The record is from RNAcentral. Lineage: Eukaryota; Metazoa; Chordata; Actinopteri; Pleuronectiformes; Soleidae.
AGGGACUUAGGUUAAAUACUAGACCAAGAGCCUUCAAAGCCCUCAGAGGGAGUGGAACCCUCCCAGCCCCUG